Molecule: ribosomal RNA, 230 nt
Filed under: uncultured bacterium
Lineage: Bacteria
Description: partial 16S ribosomal RNA
Rfam family: Bacterial small subunit ribosomal RNA
Source: RNAcentral
AAAGCGUGCGCAGGCGGUUUUGUAAGACUGUCGUGAAAUCCCCGGGCUCAACCUGGGAAUGGCGAUGGUGACUGCAAGGCUAGAGUUUGGCAGAGGGGGGUAGAAUUCCACGUGUAGCAGUGAAAUGCGUAGAUAUGUGGAGGAACACCGAUGGCGAAGGCAGCCCCCUGGGUCAAAACUGACGCUCAUGCACGAAAGCGUGGGGAGCAAACAGGAUUAGAUACCACAGU